CAAGAAAGCAUUAACUUUUAACCUAAAGAAGUAAUAGCCGGAGAUGUCCCUUCUCAGCAACUUACACCAUAAAAUAACUGUUUCUUAACAGGAAGUAGUCUUUUAAAGACAAAGCUGAAACUUAUAUUCAGAAAGAAUGGUGAUUACUUCAUCCACCUGAUUUCAGCUAGUUAUCAGAAAGAGCACUAAACUCCACUGUACACCAGAGCAGUUAUGGGGGGCAGGGAGGAAAAGAGCAGGGAGAGGGGGCGUUCUUCUUAAUCUUUUAUUGACUGGUUUCUUUCAUUCUAGUGUGUCUUUAUUAUUUAGGAAAAAAAAAAAUAAAAAGUGAUCCAGAGCUCCACCCAUUUGCACCUAAAUCCUGGAAUAGGUGAUGAUCCUCCUUAACCUGGCCCAGCACAUGCCCCCAAACUAAAACAAACAAACUCAUUUGCCAUACAAAUUGUUUACGAUUCAUUAAAAAGCAAAAUUGCAUAUCCCGGUGCUGGCAGCUGAGGCCGAGUCUCCAUGGGCGGAGGGGCAUUCACUGAGUUGCCUUUGUAUGCUGGGAGGACCAAGCCGGAGGUUCCCACUAUGAGCCCGGAGUCUGAGCAGCCAGAUGACACAGGAGGUAGGAAAACCUCUAGACAGCUGCUGAAUACAAGCCACUUAUUCAGGACUAAUGGGGAAAAGGAAGUGUGCAGAAUCUCUUGCAAUGGGUCACUUGCAUUUGGUGGCUGUCAUUCCUGUGAGCUGAGCUGAGCUGGGGCUGCAGAACAGCACCUGUGCAGCAGCAACACUGUAACCUCAGCCCGAGUUCUGUUUUGAAGCUUCCAGGGUACCAGAAAAUACCAUGUAAACUGCCAAGAGAGGGAAGCAAUUAGUAGCCCCACCCAGUGAUACCUACCAACUAUGGCGUGACCAGAAUGGCAAGAGAUCCACAAAGGCAGCCAACAUGUGAGCAGAUGAAGACCAUCACAAAAAUCCACAGCUGGACAUGAAGCAGACAUCAACAGGUCCUGUCGAACCCAGCCCCAACAGAUACAACUGCAUCACAACUCCUCCACCUAUGGUUCUGCAAACAUCACAGAAAAGGGGAUGGGGAGACUGUAAGAACUAAAACCCCAUGAAGUCUGCUGUGAAACAGUUUCUCCUAGAAAUGUCUGCAUAAGCAAGAUCUGAACAAUGGCAAUACCAAUAGACAGGUUGACAUGGAAGGGAAAAAUCUCAGAGUCACAUCCCUGCAUAAGGAACUGCAGGAAACUGAUGACUGCUGAGAAUGAGAGAGUUAUGUUCUAUCAGGAAUAAGCUCCAAUAUUAGUUAUUUAAUACAAACAGCAUCUCUGAAACCACACAAACACACACACACAUAUACAUAUAUAUGUAUAUGUAUAUAUAUAUGUAUAAAGCAAACAACAGAAUGGACUCAGCAGGUUGUAUUUAUAUACUUGUGCAUAUAUACAUGUAACAAUAAUAAUGGAACGAGAAGAGGCUAUCAACUUAAGAUUUUUGGGAACUUUGGGAGUAGCUAGAGGGAGAAAAGGGAAGAGGAAAGUGUUGUAAUUAUAUUUUAAUUAAAAUAUAUAAUAAUUACAAAGUGAAAGCAUUCAGUGAAUUUUGUUUUGUGAUUAGGGCAGUUUCUCAUAAUUUCUGAAAUGGAUCUAAACAUACUGCUGCAUUUUGUACUAUGUAUUUAUGCAGAACAGUGUUCUCUGAAUUGAUGAUUAUAAAAAUAAACAUUGAUCACUUAACAAACAUUCAAGAUGUUCUAUAUCCUUCAGUAUCAAAUCAGUCAAGGUUCAGUUCUUUAUGUGAACAUUAACAAGCAUAUCCAUUUUAUUAGUAAGCAAAUUUGAUUUAAUUUUUAAUAAAUGAUCAAAUUGUAUGUAUAUCAAAUAAUUGCUUUAAAAUAUUUUUUGUAAUUUAUUACCAGUAAGUAUAUACCUAUUUUAUAUACAUAUAUAUCAAUGGUCAUGUAAAAAUUUCUCAGGUAUAAAGGGGUUGUGAGUAGAAAGUUUAGGAAGUCUUGUUCUCCACUGUCUAUAUCUGAAUAAUAUUUUUUGUAGUAUAG
Long non-coding RNA from Peromyscus leucopus (white-footed mouse), 2050 nucleotides. RefSeq lists it as uncharacterized. Lineage: Eukaryota; Metazoa; Chordata; Mammalia; Rodentia; Cricetidae. The record is from RefSeq and is a predicted model, not a curated record. The transcript is spliced from 4 exons.